RNAcentral lists this ribosomal RNA (355 nucleotides) under uncultured Bacteroidota bacterium. Its description in RNAcentral is "bacterial SSU rRNA". It matches the Rfam family "Bacterial small subunit ribosomal RNA", at positions 468 to 822 of the family's 1533-position model. Lineage: Bacteria; Pseudomonadati; Bacteroidota. The record is from RNAcentral.
AUUGACGGUACUGUACGAAUAAGGAUCGGCUAACUCCGUGCCAGCAGCCGCGGUAAUACGGAGGAUGCAAGCGUUAUCCGGAUUCAUUGGGUUUAAAGGGUGCGUAGGCGGAAUAUUAAGUCAGAGGUGAAAUCCUGCAGCUCAACUGUAGAACUGCCUUUGAUACUGGUUGUCUUGAAUUUAGUUGAAGUAGGCGGAAUGUGUAAUGUAGCGGUGAAAUGCAUAGAUAUUACAUAGAACACCGAUUGCGAAGGCAGCUUACUAACCUUUAACUGACGCUGAGGCACGAAAGCGUGGGGAGCGAACAGGAUUAGAUACCCUGGUAGUCCACGCCGUAAACGAUGAUCACUCGCUG